UGUCCUGUUGUUAUGAUUGAGCCUCAUGGCUCUGCUACUGGGAAGCGUGGGCGUAAGACUCCUCGAGAGUCAGAUACUCUCGAGGAGCGAGAAAGAAAGAGGCUGCGAGAUAUCUUUGCAGAACCAUCUGACGAGGAUUCUUUUGAGGGGUUUACAGAGAGAAUGGAGGAAGAGGUGGUGAGCUCGGAAGAGGAUGAGAUGGAUUGGACUCGGGUAAGGGAGGAAUUGGGUGCCACUGGCAAUGAUGGGAUGGAAGAUGAUUGGGGACCUUCAGGACUAGACCCAUGGACAAGCUGGAGGGAUGGGACGGGAUCCACAGCUGGGGAUGCUGUGGGGUGUAGUCAGAGGUGUUCCAGCUCUGAUGAGGAAAGUGAUGAGGAAACGCCCGGGUUAAGGAGGGCAGCUGAUAGUGAUGAGGACUUGUAACUGGCAUAAAAUGGGGUUUGGGAGCAAUUGCAAAUUGCGUUGGGCAAGGUAAUCUGGACGAACGCUUGGGAUCUGUGUGGGACGUUUUCCUGAAGACGGGUGUGUUUCGUGUGCUGACUACCUUUGACCUUCCGUCGUCUUCUUGACGGACGCCAUCUGCUACUCUGGAUUUACGGACUGAACUGACUACGGGCUCGGAUUCUCCUACCUGGACUUGGUGAACUACAAACGUCUGCUUCUGCCUUACGACCUUCGGAAAGAACUGGGACUACGCUACUGCUUCAAUCCUCGGCUGUUGUGUUUGUAUUGGAACCUUGCCUGCUGUGUGGAGGAGUAACUGCUAAGUUACUCAAAACAUAGUGCUGGCAGCAGAGAAGCAUCUGCUGCCAAUUAGUUACAUUCUUUUGAACUCUUUGUUCACCAGUUUCUGUUUUGUUUAUUCUCAGGCUGAAGCAAGCUGUUUUGAUUUUGUCCGGAUUAAACUCCGGUUUAAUCCGGUUUAUCUUUUGAAUGUUUUUCUUGCCCCUUUUUGCUUUUUAAGGCCAGUGUUGCCUAGCCCUUGUCUUUUACGGGCAUUUUGAGUUCUGUAAAUCCAAUAAACUCUGUUAUCUUUGA
Long non-coding RNA from Anolis carolinensis (green anole), 1041 nucleotides. RefSeq lists it as uncharacterized. Lineage: Eukaryota; Metazoa; Chordata; Lepidosauria; Squamata; Anolidae. The record is from RefSeq and is a predicted model, not a curated record. The transcript is spliced from 2 exons.